CGCGGUAAUUCCCGCUCCCAUAGCGUAUAUUAACGUUGUUGCAGUUAAAAAGCUCGUAGUUGAAGUGAGGGAGUGUGUGUUGUGAUCGAAUCGAUCGAGAGCAGUACAACCUCCCCCUUCCAAUGGGUGUAUUGGGGUAUUCAUUUACUUCAUUACUCCUUUGGUCGUUUACUGUGAGAAAAUUAUAGUGUUCAAAGCGGGCGUUUGUUUGAAUAGAUUACAUGGAAUAAUGAUUGAAGGCUUUCGUGUUCGAUUUGAUUGGUUUGUUCAUGGAAGCAAGGUUAAAAGGAACAGUUGGGGGUAUUCAUAUUCACUAGUUAGAGGUGAAAUUCUCGGAUUUAUGGA
RNAcentral lists this ribosomal RNA (345 nucleotides) under Blastocystis sp. subtype 2. Its description in RNAcentral is "SSU rRNA". It matches the Rfam family "Eukaryotic small subunit ribosomal RNA", at positions 575 to 932 of the family's 1831-position model. Lineage: Eukaryota; Bigyra; Opalinata; Blastocystidae. The record is from RNAcentral.